GCAGUACAUACGCAGUAACUCGGCCCGUUUCUAGUCAGAAGGGUGGUGUGGAGAGUCGGGGAACAUUAUAUUAUCCACUGGUUCAGGAAGGACUGAGGUGCUGCUGUAAAAGACGAGGAGGAGGCGCGAGAACGUGCCUUUGGUACACGUUGGCAGAAAGGUGAAGGUGGCCAGUGACGACAGCAGGAAUAAAGGCGCUAUUACACGGACAUUUUCUGGUGUCUUUUAUCGGCAUCUUGCCACUGAGUCUGGAUGGUGAUCUGAAGCACAUGAAACACUUCACUCUCUGUACCAUGCUUCAGUCCCUUCCUGUACUUGUGAGCAAGAUGGUGUAGGAGAGCCAGACAGUGGAGGAGAGCCACUUCAGGAGAAAUGGAGAUGCUGCAGAGGAAGACGGGAAGAGAUAGGACCUGCAUGGAAGUAAAUACUGGUAGAAAUCAAGGUUGAGGAAGGCAACAGUUCAACUCUUGGCCUUCUGAAGCUGUGCCUUCUCAGGUUAUGGCAGCUCCCACACUUACCUCAGGAAUUAAGAUGUGAUGAGAGGCCACAUAGCACCAAUUGUGAGUGUAGCACAGGGAAAAAGUUAUGCCUCAAGAAUAUGUGAACUGUGCAUCAUCUCCAGACUGAGUCAACACUCCUCUCUGAAACUCAAGUAGAAACUCUUCAGUGGCAGAAUUGGUGGAAGAGAACAUAUGUGGUGGAGGUUGAUGGCAGAUAGGGAAAAGGAGAGAAUUGCAA
Long non-coding RNA from Scylla paramamosain (green mud crab), 738 nucleotides. RefSeq lists it as uncharacterized. The transcript has 5 exons. NCBI's taxonomy places the organism in Eukaryota, Metazoa, Arthropoda, Malacostraca, Decapoda, Portunidae. The record is from RefSeq and is a predicted model, not a curated record.